This is a long non-coding RNA of Gallus gallus (chicken), 374 nucleotides long. RefSeq lists it as uncharacterized. The record is from RefSeq and is a predicted model, not a curated record. NCBI's taxonomy places the organism in Eukaryota, Metazoa, Chordata, Aves, Galliformes, Phasianidae. The transcript has 2 exons.
AGAGGAAGGUGGGGCAGCACCGAGAAGCACAGAGCAGCCAGCAUCACCCGGGGUGCAGCAGUGACCAAGGGCUGGAAAGAGGCCCCCCUGCUCUUUGAACUGCUCCAGAGCGUCCUGGGAGCCAGGCAGAAUGAGCAGCCAUUAAUCAAAGCCCGGCACGUAAUCAGCACACAUGUAACGCAGAGUCGCCCACGUCCCUGAGCCAGCCCCAGCCAGCACGCUGCAGAGGAGAAGAGGUCCUUCAAAGCCCUCUGCGCACAGACACCAGGAGCUGGGUUCAUUCACAAAGCUCCAUCGCUUGGCUCGGCCAGGUCUGGCUGUCAGAAAUGUUUAAAUAUGGAAAAAAAUAAACAGUUGCAACACGUUUUUUCGGA